RNAcentral lists this transfer RNA (73 nucleotides) under Stegodyphus mimosarum. It matches the Rfam family "tRNA". From Rfam's summary of the family: Transfer RNA (tRNA) molecules are approximately 80 nucleotides in length. Their secondary structure includes four short double-helical elements and three loops (D, anti-codon, and T loops). Further hydrogen bonds mediate the characteristic L-shaped molecular structure. tRNAs have two regions of fundamental functional importance: the anti-codon, which is responsible for specific mRNA codon recognition, and the 3' end, to which the tRNAs corresponding amino acid is attached (by aminoacyl-tRNA synthetases). tRNAs cope with the degeneracy of the genetic code in two manners: having more than one tRNA (with a specific anti-codon) for a particular amino acid; and 'wobble' base-pairing, i.e. permitting non-standard base-pairing at the 3rd anti-codon position. The record is from Rfam by way of RNAcentral. Lineage: Eukaryota; Metazoa; Arthropoda; Arachnida; Araneae; Eresidae.
GUCUUCGUGGUGUAGUGGUCAGCACGCUCGGCGCGUAUUCGAGAGGUCCGUGGUUCGAGUCCCGGCGAGGGCA